GCCUUUAGAGGCAAUGAUCUUUCCGAGACGAAGAAGAGGGCUUAUGUGACCUUGCCCUGGGAAUGAUACGAGCAUCACAUGAGGUAACGACGAUUCCAUCUCCAUAUUUUUUUUUUUGUUGGUAAAACUCAAAAAGAAGUUUUUGUCUUCUUUACAAUAUUUCCAAUUUAGAUACCUCGAUUUAUGGAAGGUUGGGUAGAGAGGCCUUUCCACGGCGUGCUAUUUUUUUAUACAAAUAUUGAUAAUAAAUGUAGAAAAAUAUCAUAAAAUACAGCAUAGACAUAGGGGAAAAAUGUCAAUUAAUCCCCCAACUUUCAAAAAAUGGCCAUUUUAUACAUCAACUUCGUAUGCGGCCGUUUAAAUCAUGAAUUUAACGUUGACUAAUUUUAAAAACGUGAUUAUUCGUUGACCAGGCCAAAGCAGACAUGUCGUUAUCAGUCAUUAACGGAACUUCUAACGUCCGUUAUCAUCCGUUAACAACUUUAUUAGUCAAGUUUUAAAUUGUGGCCAUUUUAAACAUCAAGUUCAUAUGUGGCCAUUUAAAACAUGAACUAAACGUUGACUACCAUUUAAAACAUGAAAAAUUCGUUGACCAAACCAAAAUAAACAUGUUGUUAUCAUUCAUUAAAAGAACUUAUAACAUUCGUAAAUUUAUAAGUUUUUAGUCAAUUAUUAAAAAGAUAAUAAUAAGACAAAACAAAAUUAUAGAUACAAUUUUAGAAAAAAAGCGUAAAAUUAAGAAAAAACAAAAACUAGAAGAGAAGUUUUUAUAAUGAUUAUAAUGAUAUUAAAGUCCUUGAGCAGAUGACCUACUUGAUUUAUUUUUCAACGAUUACCUGCUCUGGUUAUAAUGGUAUUAUAAACCACGAGAUUAGCGACUUCAUAAUCAACCAAUAUAAGAACUCUCUUAUGAUAGUAUUAAACAUAAUGUUUAACGGUUGACCAAAAACAAAAAUUAACGAGUUUAGACCAAAACAUGUGACUCUAUUAAUUUGAUUAAAUUGUGGAACAGAUCACUUAUUAUUUUUGUCGUAAACUCCAUGAGCUAUCCCACAAAAAUUAACUUUCCAACAAACUCUAAGAUUAUGCAUAUCGAGAUGAUGUCUCCACUGACUUUUGGUUUCGAAUAAAAUGUUAUUAAAAAUUAGAUAUUCGAAUUUGGAUCUUUAUCAAAUUAAUAUAAAUUUAAAAUAUGUUAAAUUCUAAAUUGAUUCUUCCGACUACUAGAAUUAUUUAGUUCAUCUAAUGAUAUCUCCACGUCUACUUUAACAAAACAAAAAAAAAAUCUCCAAUUGUUUAAUUUUUAAAUGGGAGAAAAGUGUUUAUAGAAGAAUCGUACAUGAUAGAUUGAUAGAGGUUACAUAUAGUUUUGUAGCUAGGUUUUGUGUUAAUGAAUAUGAUCGACCUAGUUGUGACAUAAAAAGCUUCAUGAGGCUUUUUGGGCGAAAUGAGAUGAUCACACUAACUCAAGGAUGUGUAGGUGGAAAACAAAAGAGUACUAGAUUGCCGUUCUCAAAUAAUCUGCGCCUCGGAGAUGGAGAUCUAGUUGACUGAGGAUGCGGACUCGUAACAUUGCCACCACCAUAACACACUUAAGGGAAGGAUUCUAAUGGAUUCCAAAAUCACCACAUGCAUGACAGUAUGACUCGAUUAGAAUUAGAUAGAAAAAUGAGAAGAUCCGUCUUCAGUUACCGGCGAGGAAUGCCGAAAACCGAAGUGGAAGAUCGGUAAUUUUUUUUUAGUGCAGAGAAAAAUUAAGAAAGAAAAGAGAAACCCAUAAAAAUAGAGAUAGUUUCUCAAAAUAUUAUUUGCAUAAUCAUCAUAUUAAGC
RNAcentral lists this long non-coding RNA (1830 nucleotides) under Arabidopsis thaliana (thale cress). RNAcentral's name for it is "long non-coding RNA (ATHA_LNC000261)". Lineage: Eukaryota; Viridiplantae; Streptophyta; Magnoliopsida; Brassicales; Brassicaceae. The record is from RNAcentral.